UACGUAGGGAGCAAGCGUUGUCCGGAAUCAUUGGGCGUAAAGCGCGCGUAGGCGGCCCUGUAAGUCCGUUGUGAAAGUCAAAGGCUCAACCUUUGAAAGCCGAUGGAUACUGCAGGGCUAGAGUCCGGAAGAGGCGAGUGGAAUUCCUGGUGUAGCGGUGGAAUGCGUAGAUAUCUGGAGGAACACCGGUGGCGAAGGCGGCAUCCUGGACCAAUUCUGACGCUGAGGAGCGAAAGCCAGGGGAGCAAACGGG
Molecule: ribosomal RNA, 253 nt
Filed under: uncultured prokaryote
Description: partial 16S ribosomal RNA
Rfam family: Bacterial small subunit ribosomal RNA
Source: RNAcentral